CAGCUCGGGCGCUCCGCACCCAAUCACCGGUGUCUCGCGGCUCUCGCCCCACCCCAGCCACCAAACGAGGAACCCUAGCCUCCUUUCUCCAUCCCCUCGACCCCCACGAGCCGCUGCACCCCUCCCUCUCCCUUCCGUGCGUGCGCUCGGCCAAGGAUGCCGCCGUCGCCCUCGGCUCCUCCUCCACCAACUCGCCUUCCCAUCGCUCGCGCGCAUGUUGCCGCCGUCGGAGAACAGGCCAGUGCGGGUCGCUUCCUCCUUUUCCUCCCGCCGGAUCUAAGGCGCGCGGCCGUGGAGGCGAGCCUCUCCGGUGGCGGCGGCAAAGGGUGACCACAUGGAUCGGUCCCUGCAGGAGAGAGAAGAUGGAAGAGAGGGAGAGCAGGAAGGAGAGUAGGGAGGCCCAGUGGCGGACGGGAGAGGGUUACCGACCGGCGCCGGCGAGGUCAGGUGCGACCUGGUGGUUGGUGGCGGCUCGAUCCACUCCUGGAUCCUUCUUCUUCCACUUCCCCACUGCCUAACACCGAGGAAGAGGGCUGGCUAAGGAAGAGGGCGAGGACGCGGGGAUUGAAGAGGGUGUUCCUGCGUUCAUUGCCUGGCCAAGGACGAGGACGACGACGUGGGGUGGAGCAUGUCAUCCCUCUGGUUAUCACCUUCCUUUCUGCUACUGGGCUGAGAUGAGGGUUUUCUCCACCAAUUGUGGUGGCCUGAGUCAGAGAUCGACAGCCAGAUGCUUGUGGCUACCACACAAAACGUGCUCUCUUGCUGACCUCGAGGUCCAGAUGCAAUGGAUUGUCUCCAAGGUGUUUCUCCGACCAGCAACAACAAAACUCCACACUUUCUCAAUUGUGUUGUGAUUGGUUCAUGUCCACCAAGGCCGUUGCGUUGGUCGCGGUACUCGGCUUCCUUUGGGUUUGCUUGCUGUCGAUGAAGAAGAAAGGUGUGAACCAUGUGAAAAUGGACAAACCCACAGUCCUAGAUGGUAAUGAAAAAACUGACACCAACUAGCUCACUCUAUAAAUUUUGUCUAGGCUCAAGCUAACUACGUAUCUGCACCACAAUUGCUCGCUGGGGAUAUAGAUGUAUGCCUAACAUCAGGUUAUUACCACACCAUAGUAGCUGCUCGCUGGGAAUAUAGAUAUAUAUUUCAUUUUGCAGGUUAUGUGCCAAAACAUGAUGUAUAGAACCAUACUUUGUGCUGUCUUGAUUUUAAUACUUAUGUAUGAACUCCUUAUUCUAGCCUUUUCAUCAGGAUUAAUGAGCAGUGGUGAUGCAUCACUUCCCUAACAACCUACAACUAGCAAAACUGAGGUUAUGAAACAUCAUUGUCAAUUGUCUUCUUUAUAAAUGUAACCCUGUCCUAAAAGUACUCUUGCACGGCAGAAUUAUCUUCUUACAUGUUUGGUCACAAUAUAGCUUUCCUGAAAUCUAUUUUGCUUUCAGUUUGAAUUUGUCAUGACCUGGAUAGAUAUACUCUAGACCUUGAUAUAUGACUACGUAAUUGAAGAAGUGGACAUCUUGGUCAUUGCAAAUUUUCUCUGUUCAUUUUUAAAAGAGCGGAUUACAAUUCUCCAGGAGCAACGCUGCUGUGGUAGCUAUCCAUCCAUCUUGCUUUUUAGAAAACUUGCGACCACAAAGGCCGAAGUCGCCACCCUGUAAUGUCGCGCUGAUGGUAGCCCAUACUGCUUUGCGAUGAAUAAUAUCAUAACAGCUAAUGUUUGAAUUUUCCAUAUUGCUUCAGCUAACCUGUGAAUAGGUCUGCACUCUGCGCAUACAUAUUUGUUCAAUUCCUUAUUUCUAUAAGGUUUAUGUAAUUAUGUUUAUGUUAGAAGGUUUAGAUGCCAUACUUUGCAUGGACUGUUACUAAGAGAAAUUUAUGUUGUUCUUAGGUACCAAUCAGGUUAUUGAUGCCGCCGGAUAGCUGUCGUUGGCUAUAAUGUGAUUAGGUACCAAUCUUGUUAUUAAAGUUGUUACGGUAUAUGAUGCGGCUACAUAAUUAUACUCUUAUAUGGUCAGCCAAGUGUUCUUCUGGAUAUACCUUUGUGCAAUGUAUAACUGAAGUACGAUCAUUUCCUUCAAUACACUAAGCAUACUAUUAAAAUUUUGUGUGUCAGGCCUUAAGAGUAGAUUGCCUUUUCUGUACUUUUGUGUUGCUUCAUCCAUUCAUUAUUUAUUAACAUGUUUACACUUCAUUGUUAAUGUAUGGUUGUUUACCUUUUGGUGUCGACUUUCGACUUACUGAUUUGUGCAAUCAAAUAUAGAAAAGGAUCUUGUUUUGGACACGACAGCCUUGCUGAUGGCAUGCUUGAGUUACCUCGCACCAUCAUUUGGCCUUUCAAGCACUUGAUUUGCAUUUUUUUGAUGUAAUCAAAUAGUGUCCCUGCAUCUUAACAAGCCACCCAUUUAUCAUGUGUAAUGUGUCAUUCUUUCCUUUUCUUUUCCUGGAGUUUUUUCGCUAAACAUCAAUGCACUUAUGGAUAGUACAUUGACGCUGAUGAUUCUAUCUUCUUUAUUUGAGAAUAUGAUAUUGUACAUGUAUUGUAGAUUGGAUUACAAAAUAGUGGUUGUAGUUCUUAUGAUUUGCAGUAGCUUAGGUAUGGUGUUGUGGCUUUAGCACAUAACAUGGAUCGGUUUUAAUAUCCUGUUCGUGCUCGUCUUCGCAUUUUAUAGGCAGGUUGUCUGGGAUAAUUUAUACUUUUGCUAAAUUACUGCUAAAGUGGUUUUGUUGAGAGUUGAAACUACACCAAUGUUUUGCUUUCUGCUAAAGUCAAAGAUAUUGUAUCCUUGAAUGUUUUUCAAUUACCAACACAUGCCAAAUUCUGCAUAUUCGUUAAUGAUUUCAAUGCCUUCUGUCAGUUUUGCACUAUGGAAGUCAUUGUUUGCUAUAUAUUAAUAUUGGCUAAUUGGGUUUAGAAAGCACUGUAUAUUUUUGAUAUGCUCUGAGUUGAACAUGUUUCGGUAUGCAGUGUACAUGGUACAGGCAGGUAAGAAAACAACCUUAUUUUAGGCUCAGGCCUGACUAGCGAUUAAGUCAUUAAAUUUUUGUGGGCAGGUAAAAGAGCAGCCCUAUUUUCGGUAUGCUUGACUUUCAGUAUUUUUGGUCACAGAUUUGUUGAUCUUCUGUACUGCCUCUAUCAAAAUAUUUGUACAAAUCCAGACUACAAAACGUCUUAUAUUUUGAUAGAGUGAGGACUACAGAUGGUGUUGGUGGUAACCUGGGGAAGACUUAUCGACGUGGAUACAGCCACAUUCCUUGACCGAAAUGAUCCAAACUAUGAUAGUAACAAGAUAGUUUGGUGCUCUCAUGGUUAUUUUGUAGAGAUUGUCCUUCUGUUCAUUAUUUGGCAAUCAUCUACUGCAGCUCAGCUACUGUCCAGCUGCUUCCCUUAUGGCCUUUCAUUCUCACUGUGAUCCCCUGAGAUGCCUUGUGUAUUUGCUUUAUCCUCUACUUCUGAUAAUGCAAGACAGAUCAAACCAACGCAGCAAGACGAAACUGAAAUGGGGAUCUCGGACAAGUGCAAGGAGGGAAGCUGUCGUAAGAUAGAUAAUAAACUUGCCUCCGCUCUGACAAGAGCAUGUUCGUUCAGACCUUUUCUUACUAAAAGCUAUUUAUCUAUAGCAAGUAUUUCCAUUAGAACUAUCAAAUUCAAACUCCUAGAUGUCUAUGUCAGCAUGUAGAACUUUGUCCAGGCAAAGAUAUCCCCUCUGAUCUUUUUGUGAAUCCUUCCACACUUCUUUGUAAAGUGUUACUGAUUUUAAUAAAAUCUCUCUAUUAAAAAGACAAUAUAAUUCAAGCUACUAGAGUAGCUUGUUCAUUCA
Molecule: long non-coding RNA, 3816 nt
Organism: Triticum aestivum (bread wheat)
Lineage: Eukaryota; Viridiplantae; Streptophyta; Magnoliopsida; Poales; Poaceae
Exons: 6
Source: RefSeq, a predicted model, not a curated record